UCCUACGGGAGGCAGCAGUGGGGAAUAUUGCACAAUGGGGGAAACCCUGAUGCAGCAACGCCGCGUGAGUGGUGACGGCCUUCGGGUUGUAAAACUCUGUCUUUGGGGACGAUAAUGACGGUACCCAAGGAGGAAGCCACGGCUAACUACGUGCCAGCAGCCGCGGUAAUA
RNAcentral lists this ribosomal RNA (171 nucleotides) under uncultured Rhizobium sp. Its description in RNAcentral is "partial 16S ribosomal RNA". It matches the Rfam family "Bacterial small subunit ribosomal RNA", at positions 337 to 525 of the family's 1533-position model. The record is from RNAcentral. Lineage: Bacteria; Pseudomonadati; Pseudomonadota; Alphaproteobacteria; Hyphomicrobiales; Rhizobiaceae.